AACGGCGAGUGAAGCGGCAACAGCUCAAAUUUGAAAUCUGGCCCGUCCCGGGUCCGAGUUGUAAUUUGUAGAGGGUGUUUCGGGCAAGGCGGCGGUCUAGGUCCCUUGGAACAGGGCGCCACAGAGGGUGAGAGUCCCGUCUUCGACCGCCAGCCGCGUCCAUGUGAAACCCCUUCGACGAGUCGCGUUGUUUGGGAAUGCAGCGCAAAAUGGGUGGUAAAUUUCAUCUAAAGCUAAAUAUUGGCCAGAGACCGAUAGCGCACAAGUAGAGUGAUCGAAAGAUGAAAAGCACUUUGAAAAGAGAGUUAAACAGCAUGUGAAAUUGUUGAAAGGGAAGCGCUUGCAGCCAGACUUGUGGACGGUUAUUCAGCCGUUCUCCUUGAACGGUGCAUUUCUCCGUCUCCAGGCCAGCAUCGGUUUCGGCAGCCAGUGAAAGGCUCCGGGAAUGUAUCGACCUUCCGGGGUUGACUUAUAGCCCGGGGUGCCAUGUGGCUCGCCGGGACCGAGGUACGCGCUCUGCACGGAUGCUGGCGUAAUGGCUGUAAGCGACCCGUCUUGAAACACGGACCAAGGAGUCUAACAUCUAUGCGAGUGUUCGGGUGUCAAACCCUUGCGCGUAAUGAAAGUGAACGGAGGUAGGAGCCUUUUGGGGCGCACUAUCGACCGAUCCUGAUGUUCUCGGAUGGAUUUGAGUAAGAGCAUAGCUGUUGGGACCCGAAAGAUGGUGAACUAUGCGUGUAUAGGGUGAAGCCAGAGGAAACUCUGGUGGAGGCUCGCAGCGGUUCUGACGUGCAAAUCGAUCGUCAAAUACGCGUAUAGGGGCGAAAGACUAAU
This 834-nucleotide ribosomal RNA is filed under the name Pyrenula mamillana. Its description in RNAcentral is "LSU rRNA". It matches the Rfam family "Eukaryotic large subunit ribosomal RNA", at positions 85 to 935 of the family's 3401-position model. The record is from RNAcentral. Lineage: Eukaryota; Fungi; Ascomycota; Eurotiomycetes; Pyrenulales; Pyrenulaceae.